This 254-nucleotide ribosomal RNA is filed under the name uncultured bacterium. Its description in RNAcentral is "partial 16S ribosomal RNA". It matches the Rfam family "Bacterial small subunit ribosomal RNA", at positions 524 to 776 of the family's 1533-position model. The record is from RNAcentral.
UACGGGGGGGGCAAGCGUUGUUCGGAAUUACUGGGCGUAAAGAGCUCGUAGGCGGUUCGGCAAGUCAGCUGUGAAAUCUCCACGCUCAACGUGGAGGGGUCAGCUGAUACUGCUGUGACUCGAGUCCGGUAGGGGAGUGUGGAAUUCCAGGUGUAGCGGUGAAAUGCGCAGAUAUCUGGAGGAACACCGGUGGCGAAAGCGCGAGACUGGGCCAUAACUGACGCUGAGGAACGAAAGCCAGGGGAGCGAAAGGG